CUACCAAGACAGUGACGGUUGACGGGGAAUCAGGGUUUGAUACCGGAGAGGGAGCCUGAGAGAUAGCUCCCACGUCCAUGGACGGCAGCAGGCGCGAAAAUUGCCCACUCUUUGCAGGAGGCAGUUAUGAGACGUGAAGAUGACUAUUCGGUAAAGAUGAAUAGGAGAAUUGGAGGGCAAGUUUGGUGCCAGCCGCCGCGGUAAUACCGACUCCAAGAGUGUGUAUGAGAGAUGCUGCAGUUAAAAAGUCCGUAGUCAUAGAAAGAUAAAGAGGGAUGUGAAGUCUCUGUAAUUAGCGAUAGAAAAACCGAUGGGGAACAUAGUAUACCAGGGCGAGAGAUGAAAUUCCAAGACCCUUGGUGGACUAAGCGAGGCGAAAGCGAUGUUCUUGUAGGUAUUUGAUGAUCAGGGACGAAGGCUGGAGUAUCGAAAGUGAUUAGAUACCGCAGUAGUUCCAGCAGUAAAAGAUGCC
RNAcentral lists this ribosomal RNA (472 nucleotides) under Microsporidia sp. RNAcentral's name for it is "bacterial SSU rRNA". It matches the Rfam family "Microsporidia small subunit ribosomal RNA", at positions 200 to 696 of the family's 1311-position model. The record is from RNAcentral. Lineage: Eukaryota; Fungi; Microsporidia.